UUGGAGGGCAAGUCUGGUGCCAGCAGCCGCGGUAAUUCCAGCUCCAAUAGCGUAUAUUAAAGUUGUUGCAGUUAAAAAGCUCGUAGUUGAAUUUCGGGGUCAGUAGGUCGGUCGUGCCACUGGUAUGAACUGGUUUUACUGAUUCCUCCCUCUUGAAGAACUGUAAUGCCAUUAAUUUGGUGUUGCAGGGAAUCAGGACUGUUACUUUGAAAAAAUUAGAGUGUUUAAAGCAGGCAUUAGCUUGAAUACAUUAGCAUGGAAUAAUGAAAUAGGACGUUUGAUCCUAUUUUGUUGGUUUCUAGGAUUGACGUAAUGAUUAAUAGGGAUAGUUGGGGGCAUUAGUAUUCAAUUGUCAGAGGUGAAAUUCUUGGAUUUAUUGAAGACUAACUACUGCGAAAGCAUUUGCCAAGGAUGUUUUCAUUAAUCAAGAACGAAAGUUAGGGGAUCGAAGACGAUCAGAUACCGUCGUAGUCUUAACCAUAAACUAUGCCGACUAGGGAUCGGAUGAUGUUAAUUUUUUAAUGACUCAUUCGGCGCCUUACGGGAAAC
Molecule: ribosomal RNA, 549 nt
Filed under: uncultured Glomeromycotina
Lineage: Eukaryota; Fungi; Glomeromycota
Description: SSU rRNA
Rfam family: Eukaryotic small subunit ribosomal RNA
Source: RNAcentral